Molecule: ribosomal RNA, 911 nt
Filed under: uncultured archaeon
Lineage: Archaea
Description: bacterial SSU rRNA
Rfam family: Archaeal small subunit ribosomal RNA
Source: RNAcentral
UUCCGGUUGAUCCUGCCGGAGGCCACUGCUAUUGGGAUCCGAUUAAGCCAUGCGAGUCGAGAGGGUUCGGCCCUCGGCAGACUGCUCAGUAACACGUGGAUAACCUAACCUUAGGUGGAAGAUAACCUCGGGAAACUGAGAAUAAUAUUCCAUAGAUCUAGGAUGCUGGAAUGCAUCUAGAUUGAAAGUUCCGACGCCUAAGGAUGGGUCUGCGGACUAUCAGGUUGUAGUCAGGGUAAAGACCUGACUAGCCUACGACGGAUAUGGGUUGUGAGAGCAAUAGCCCAGAGACGAUAUCUGAGACACGAUAUCGGGCCCUACGGGGCGCAGCAGGCGCGAAAUCUUCACAAUGUGCGAAAGCACGAUGAGGGGAUCCCAAGUGCUGGCACGUAAGUGUCAGCUGUUUCUUAGUCUAAAAAACUGAGAGAGUAAGGGCUGGGUAAGACGGGUGCCAGCCGCCGCGGUAAUACCUGCAGCUCAAGUGGUGGCCGCUAUUAUUGGGCCUAAAACGUCCGUAGCCUGUUUAGUAAAUGCUUGGGUAAAUUGUGUAGCUUAACUAUACGAAUACCGGGUAGACUGCUAAACUUGGGACCGGGAGAGGCUAGAGGUACUCCUGGGGGUAGAGGUGAAAUUCUGUAAUCCUAGGGGGACCACCAGUGGCGAAGGCGUCUAGCUAGAACGGGUCUGACGGUGAGGGACGAAGCCCUGGGGCGCAAACCGGAUUAGAUACCCGGGUAGUCCAGGGUGUAAACGCUGCUUGCUUGAUGUUAGUUGGGCUCCGAGCCCAACUAGUGUCGGAGAGAAGUUGUUAAGCAAGCUGCCUGGAAGUACGGUCGCAAGACUGAAACUUAAAGGAAUUGGCGGGGGAGCACAGCAACGGUGGAGCGUGCGGUUAUUGGACUCACCGCGGA